This is a long non-coding RNA of Thunnus maccoyii (southern bluefin tuna), 999 nucleotides long. RefSeq lists it as uncharacterized. NCBI's taxonomy places the organism in Eukaryota, Metazoa, Chordata, Actinopteri, Scombriformes, Scombridae. The record is from RefSeq and is a predicted model, not a curated record. The transcript has 5 exons.
UCCAGAUAAAGUAGCGCAAGUCAUUUCCCAAGCCUGUUGAUUUGAGGAUGAUGAUUCGCAUUCAGCUUUCACUAUAGGCACAGCCUUCACAUACGGCCUGCGUGGUUAUUGGAAGGUUCCGGGCCUCAACAUCCCCAUGGUCAUAUCCAGCCUCACCACCCUGCAGGAGGGCGUUCUCAGCCAGGGGAAAGCCAAGUGGAGUUUAAGCAACUGCUUCUGGGUGCUACACUGCAUGACCGAGGCCUACUAUCUGUUUACCAGAUUUUUCUUGUGACCCCUGGAGGACACCCCUACCCCCAGGGUUGGUAACCAGUGAUUUAGAGAAGCAACAAGCAGAUAAGAACACCUUGAAAGCAGCGACAACAAAGGGAAUGAGAAGAUGAGAGUGACACACGGGCCCUCGUCUAGAGAUGUGCAUAUAUAUGAGGCACAGCAAGAGACAGUGUGUGAAAAGUGAAAGAAAAAGGGUGAAAGUUACAAGAAUCUCUUACAGGUUACAGAAUAAUCUUCAAACGUCAAGCCACAGAUGUCCUGCUGGUUUUCACCCUAGUUGUCUAAUCAGGGACUCAUUUACACUUGGGAUGUCGUUGUUGGUAGAAGAGGAGACAAGGAGUAAUGUGGAACUAUACUGUAGGACCAGCAGGGUGGUUCAGUGAUUGCUUAAAAUUCAACAUGUUCAUUUCCUCUCAGCAGAAUCCUUACAGGCUUUAUAAAUGCUGUUCCUUUACAUUAUUGCGCUAUUUCACAUUUUACCUGUCACGGCAGGAAAAGAACAGGUGUAAAUAAUGAAAUUACUGAUGACUGAAUUUCAUUUAGCUGCUUUGGUUUCAGGGUCUGGGUAUUGUGCAUGCCGGCUCACUGUCACACUGCCAUGGCUUACUGGGACACUUGUAUAGAAUAGAGCUAUCAUUAAUGUUAUUAACACCUGUACUUUUUCUAUAUUCAGUGUCGGCACCUCACAGCGUGGUAAAAAUAAACAUGGAGAAGAGCAACAAUGGA